GACGUAGGGUCCGAGCGUUGUCCGGAGUUACUGGGCGUAAAGCGCGCGCAGGCGGUUUCGUACGUCGGGUGUGAAAGCCCCCCGCUCAACGGGGGAGGGUCAUUCGAAACGGCGGAACUGGAGGCAGGGAGAGGUCGGUGGAAUUCCCGGUGUAGUGGUGAAAUGCGUAGAUAUCGGGAGGAACACCAGUGGCGAAGGCGGCCGACUGGACCUGUACUGACGCUGAGGCG
RNAcentral lists this ribosomal RNA (230 nucleotides) under uncultured microorganism. Its description in RNAcentral is "partial 16S ribosomal RNA". It matches the Rfam family "Bacterial small subunit ribosomal RNA", at positions 524 to 753 of the family's 1533-position model. The record is from RNAcentral.